This 459-nucleotide ribosomal RNA is filed under the name uncultured bacterium. Its description in RNAcentral is "partial 16S ribosomal RNA". It matches the Rfam family "Bacterial small subunit ribosomal RNA", at positions 338 to 795 of the family's 1533-position model. The record is from RNAcentral.
CCUACGGGUGGCAGCAGUGAGGAAUAUUGGUCAAUGGGCGCAAGCCUGAACCAGCCAAGUCGCGUGAGGGAUGACGGUCCUAUGGAUUGUAAACCUCUUUUGUCGGGGAGCAAGGCCCGCCACGUGUGGCGGGAAGGAGAGUACCCGAAGAAAAAGCAUCGGCUAACUCCGUGCCAGCAGCCGCGGUAAUACGGAGGCCCGAGCGUUAUCCGGAUUCAUUGGGCUUAAAGGGAGCGUAGGCGGGCGUUCAAGUCAGCUGUAAAAUCGCGCGGCUCAACCGCGCCCCGCAGUUGAAACUGGACGCCUUGAGUUCACAACAGGCAGGCGGAAUUCGUGGUGUAGCGGUGAAAUGCAUAGAUAUCACGAGGAACCCCGAUUGCGAAGGCAGCCUGCCGGGGUGCGACUGACGCUGAGGCUCGAAGGUGCGGGUAUCAAACAGGAUUAGAUACCCUUGUAGUC